UGAGCAAUCUGCCCUUCUCAUCGGAAUAAGCGUUGGAAACGACGUCUAAUGCCGAAUACGACCUCCUUUCGCAUGAUCGGAGGUGGAAAGCUCCGGCGGAGAAGGAUGAGCUCGCGGCCUAUCAGCUAGUUGGUGUGGGUAAUGGCCCACCGAAGGCGACGACAGGUAGCCGGCCUGAGAGGGUGACCCGGCCACACGUGGGACUGAGACACGGCCCAGACCUCCGUAGGGAG
Molecule: ribosomal RNA, 233 nt
Filed under: uncultured bacterium
Lineage: Bacteria
Description: partial 16S ribosomal RNA
Rfam family: Bacterial small subunit ribosomal RNA
Source: RNAcentral